This 483-nucleotide ribosomal RNA is filed under the name uncultured bacterium. Its description in RNAcentral is "bacterial SSU rRNA". It matches the Rfam family "Bacterial small subunit ribosomal RNA", at positions 8 to 524 of the family's 1533-position model. The record is from RNAcentral.
AGAGUUUGAUCCUGGCUCAGGAUGAACGCUGGCGGUAUGCCUAACACAUGCAAGUCGUACGAGAGUUUUUAACUCUAGUGGCGGACGGGUGAGUAACACGUGAGAAUUUACCUUUAGGAGGGGGAUAACAAUUGGAAACGAAUGCUAAUACCCCAUAUGCUUUUGAGUGAAAUGGAUUUAUAAUUAUCUGCCUAAAGAAAAGCUCGCGGCUGAUUAGCUUGUUGGUAAGGUAAGAGCUUACCAAGGCGACGAUCAGUAUCUGGUUUGAGAGGACGAUCAGACACACUGGAACUGAGACACGGUCCAGACUCCUACGGGAGGCAGCAGUGGGGAAUUUUCCGCAAUGGGCGAAAGCCUGACGGAGCAAUACCGCGUGAGGGAAGACUGCCUAUGGGUUGUAAACCUCUUUUUUCAGGGAGGAAUAAAAUGACGUGUACCUGAAGAAUAAGCAUCGGCUAACUCCGUGCCAGCGGCCGCGGUAAG